GUGUUGUUUUUAUAGGUUUUGGACUCGAUUUGUGAAGUUUUGGAUGAAGUAUGUGAAGAGACGAGUCCAUAGGCGCAAACGGGGCUCAAAUCGGGCACCGGAUGAGCAAGAACGAGCGUCGGGAAGUUCGCGGGUCGGAGUGCGUGCGCUGGAGGUCGCGCGGUCCGGGCAUGCGGCCGCAUGCCACGGCCGCGCGACGAAGCAGGAGUUGCUGGAGCACCGCGCGGGCCAGGCGCGCGGCCGCGCGAGGAGACCGCGCGAGCUCGCGCGGGCUGGCCAUGCGGCCGCGCGAGACGCCGAGUUCCGCCCAGUUUUUCCGAUUUUUCACUAAAAGCGCGUUUUUUUGAGUAUUUUCAGGUUUAGACGACCUAGGGC
Molecule: long non-coding RNA, 375 nt
Filed under: Salvia miltiorrhiza (redroot sage)
Lineage: Eukaryota; Viridiplantae; Streptophyta; Magnoliopsida; Lamiales; Lamiaceae
Description: long non-coding RNA (SMIL_LNC004304)
Source: RNAcentral